This is a long non-coding RNA of Dermochelys coriacea (leatherback sea turtle), 2245 nucleotides long. RefSeq lists it as uncharacterized. The record is from RefSeq and is a predicted model, not a curated record. The transcript has 4 exons. NCBI's taxonomy places the organism in Eukaryota, Metazoa, Chordata, Testudines, Dermochelyidae.
UGCACCCAUCACCAUGAUAUGUGAAUGCAUCAUGGACAGUGUUUGCUUAGUUGCAACAAUUACAGGGAUGCUUCCAGCAGCCAGGAAGGGACUCCUAUCUCAUUUGAAUUUUAAUGUUGCUGAGAAACAGAGAGAAUGACAUGGGAGUUUAUACCUACAAUUUAAAAAGAAAAAAAGUGCAUCACAAAUUUCUUUGCAUUUUCCUGAGGAUUACUUAAAAAUCUUAAUAACAAAACUUCUAAGAGAAGAAGGUGACAUUCUAUAUUUGAAAAUGGAUCAACACACCUUCUUGUGAGCAAUUUGGCGCUCCUUUACUCAUUCUGCAGGCACUGCCUUAUUCUUCACAUGGAUGACUCAUUCUCUUUCAGAACUGACAGGCCUAAAUGGGAUACAAGCAGCAACAAUGCUACGUUUAUCAAAUGUCAGCUUAUAAAGCAACAAAGCAGCAGUAAUAGUCUUACAUAGAGGGUUGGGAUGCUUGCUUCUGUGGGCUGUGCAGACAUACCCACAGAAACAGAGGGAGCCAGACCGGAACAGGAAGCGUGAGGCAGGAGAAAGCAAGGUCACAUAAGCUGGGAAAGGGACUCCAUGAGAAACAGACAACUCAGCAUGCAAUAGCCUGCAUGAGGCAGGGGACACAGAUGAUGCCUUAGGACUCCCAAGGGAAGGGUGAUCUAGAAAGUGGCAUUGCAGUUAAGAUAUUUGUUGUUUUAUAUGAUCUGUACUCUCCUGUGCUUUACGUGGUUAAGUUAAAGAGCAUUAAGGUGUUAAACUGUGGGCAAAGUGUCUCGAACAGUUCACAAUUGCUGCAUACAGAGAAAGUUAAAUUGUAACCCAGAAGCUUCACACCUUUCGGGUGGAGAUCUGGGAAGGGUAUGUUUUAACUGUGGGGGAGACUGAAGGGUCAGCCCUAUGCCCAGUGGGGAUAGGAGCUGGAUAGUGGGUUCCAGCUCAGAAGGGAGUGUAAGACUGCAGGCCUGCACUCUGUGCUUAGGGAACCCAAGAUUGGGGGAGUAACUGGACUUUGUUCAGGCUUGAGAAACUUAAAAGAGCUGGGAAUCCAGGGACACAGAGGCUUGAAUUUCCCUCAGAGCAGUCUGGUGGGUUGCCAGAAGGGAGCGCCCUGCCAGAUCUGUGAUAAAAAAUGACUACCAGCAGCACCCUAAAGUCCCCAGAAAGGAAUCACAAGCUGUUUGACUUUUCCCUACUUUCCCCAAAAAGGCUUGUAAAAUAUUGGGAGAAGAAGACUGAUGCGUAGCGGAAGAGAAUACGUGGGGCUUCCUUCAUCUGGAAAGUAGUGCUGUGCAGUGGAAGGGCCUUGGACUAGGAAUAAGAAGGCAUAGGUUCAAUUCUUGAUCUGUAACUGACCUGCGUGACUUUGGACAGGUCACUUCACCUUCCGUGGCUCUGUUUCCCCAGUGAAAAUGAUGAUUAUUUUUCCUUCUUUGUAAAUCACAGAGAUCUAUGGAAGUUAAGUGCUAUAUAAAAGCUAAGAAUUAUCUCCUUUCUCUGGAAUCCAUAUCAGAAUUUUUUCAAAAUUUAAUGAAAAGUUUCAUUUUAAUGUUGAAUGGAUGAAAGUGAAAGUUGGAAUAUGGCAUUCCAUAUUUUUGUUCAAGUUUGCCCACCCCUUAUUGAAAUCACAGAACAGUGAAUUUGAAAUAUAAUCUUCCAUGCUACUGCUUUUUCUGUUUUUUCUUUUUAUAAAGGGAAUGCUUGAGCAAACUUGGGGAAAUUCACUUAUAGUACUAACUCUAAUACUUUUCUCAUACCUAUUAGAUUUAAAAAUAACAUUCAUUUUCUUUCUGCUUAACAACAAGGAGAUCAAUUCUUUUCAAAGAACAGACAUGUUCAGUCUAUCAGUUUUAUCUAUAAUACUUUAAAAGCAGUUUAUAAUGUGCAUUCUGAUUUGGUUCUUAGUGUCAAACGAAGUGUCCAGAAAAUACCUUCUAUAAUAAAUGUAAAAAAUUAAACUGAGUACUAAAAUGUUAUGUGAACCUUUGACUCUGAGAAAAAUGCAGUCAAAAUGACUAAUACAUUGGGCUUUUGUAUUUGAAUUAUAUAACAAAUAAUCUGUGCCAGGAUGAGGGAGUGAUCUGCCCUUGCUAUGUUGUUUUGUUUUGCAAAGUGUAACUUUUAAAGAUUUAUUAGACAGUUUGUUUAAGCCAAUUGUAGGGGUUUUUUAAAAAGAUUUUGCAGCUUGCUUUGUUCUCAAAAGUAUCAGCAGUUAUAAAUAAAAAAUGUAUUC